GACGAACGCUGGCGGCGUGCUUAACACAUGCAAGUCGAACGGAAAGGCCCUGCUUUUGUGGGGUGCUCGAGUGGCGAACGGGUGAGUAACACGUGAGUAACCUGCCCUUGACUUUGGGAUAACUUCAGGAGGCUGGGGCUAAUACCGGAUAGGAGCUCCUGCUGCAUGGUGGGGGUUGGAAAGUUUCGGCGGUUGGGGAUGGACUCGCGGCUUAUCAGCUUGUUGGUGGGGUAGUGGCUUACCAAGGCUUUGACGGGUAGCCGGCCUGAGAGGGUGACCGGCCACAUUGGGACUGAGAUACGGCCCAGACUCCUACGGGAGGCAGCAGUGGGGAAUAUUGCACAAUGGGCGGAAGCCUGAUGCAGCAACGCCGCGUGCGGGAUGACGGCCUUCGGGUUGUAAACCGCUUUCGCCUGUGACGAAGCGUGAGUGACGGUAAUGGGUAAAGAAGCACCGGCUAACUACGUG
Molecule: ribosomal RNA, 468 nt
Filed under: uncultured bacterium
Lineage: Bacteria
Description: partial 16S ribosomal RNA
Rfam family: Bacterial small subunit ribosomal RNA
Source: RNAcentral